Unclassified non-coding RNA from Callithrix jacchus (white-tufted-ear marmoset), 147 nucleotides. It matches the Rfam family "Metazoan signal recognition particle RNA". Rfam says of the family: The signal recognition particle (SRP) is a universally conserved ribonucleoprotein. It is involved in the co-translational targeting of proteins to membranes. The eukaryotic SRP consists of a 300-nucleotide 7S RNA and six proteins: SRPs 72, 68, 54, 19, 14, and 9. The record is from Ensembl. NCBI's taxonomy places the organism in Eukaryota, Metazoa, Chordata, Mammalia, Primates, Cebidae.
GCUGGGUGUGGUGGUGUGCGCCUGUAAUCCCAGCUACUGGGGAGGCUGAGGCAGAAGAAUUGCUUGAGCCCAGGAGGCCAGGUUACAGUGAGCAGAGAUCUUGCUGCUGCACUCCAGCCUAGGCAACAGAGUGAGAUUCUGUCUCAA